RNAcentral lists this ribosomal RNA (496 nucleotides) under uncultured bacterium. Its description in RNAcentral is "partial 16S ribosomal RNA". It matches the Rfam family "Bacterial small subunit ribosomal RNA", at positions 28 to 506 of the family's 1533-position model. The record is from RNAcentral.
GAUGAACGCUGGCGGCGUGCCUAAUACAUGCAAGUCGAGCGAACAGACGAGGAGCUUGCUCCUCUGACGUUAGCGGCGGACGGGUGAGUAACACGUGGAUAACCUACCUAUAAGACUGGGAUAACUUCGGGAAACCGGAGCUAAUACCGGAUAAUAUAUUGAACCGCAUGGUUCAAUAGUGAAAGACGGUUUUGCUUCCACUUAUAGAUGGAUCCGCGCCGCAUUAGCUAGUUGGUAAGGUAACGGCUUACCAAGGCAACGAUGCGUAGCCGACCUGAGAGGGUGAUCGGCCACACUGGAACUGAGACACGGUCCAGACUCCUACGGGAGGCAGCAGUAGGGAAUCUUCCGCAAUGGGCGAAAGCCUGACGGAGCAACGCCGCGUGAGUGAUGAAGGUCUUCGGAUCGUAAAACUCUGUUAUUAGGGAAGAACAAAUGUGUAAGUAACUAUGCACGUCUUGACGGUACCUAAUCAGAAAGCCACGGCUAACUACGU